CCUGUUCGAGCGUCAUUACAACCCUCAAGCACUGCUUGGUAUUGGAUGUCACCACUGUGGUGUAUCUCAAACGUAUUAGCAGUUACAUUCAGCUUCUAGCGUAGCAAAUUUCUCGCUUUGGAGCUAAGUGUCUAAUUGUUAGAACUCCUAAUUUAUCAAAGGUUGGCCUCGGAUCAGGUAGGGAUACCCGCUGAACUUAA
This 200-nucleotide unclassified non-coding RNA is filed under the name soil metagenome. RNAcentral's name for it is "partial contains internal transcribed spacer 2 and large subunit ribosomal RNA". The record is from RNAcentral.